This 5940-nucleotide long non-coding RNA is filed under the name Sus scrofa (pig). RNAcentral's name for it is "lncRNA (ENSSSCG00035007318.1)". Lineage: Eukaryota; Metazoa; Chordata; Mammalia; Artiodactyla; Suidae. The record is from RNAcentral.
GCAGCUAUACUGUGGAACUUUUAGAUAAUUUAAUCAAAGAGCCUUAGUCUUUACACUAUCUGUGUGUGUAUAGAAGUACCUUUUUGGUAAAAAUGACUAAAAUUUUCCAAAAAUGUAUUAAUUAAUGAAAUAAUAAAUAUUUCUUUAGAUUUAAACAGAAUGCAUUAUUGCUAUUUUUAAAAUUUGAAAAUAUGAUUUUUUCUUCAUGUUCUUGAAUUUAAUUUAAAAAUUCUAAGAAAUGAUAUCUAACUUCAUUCUAGGUAAUACUUAAAAGACCGUUGUCUUAUAUAUUAACUAUAGGUGUUUUCUAAAAAUAGAGUGGCUCAAUAGAAUUGUUAGUUUAUUUUGAGCUGUCUAAACCUGGAGACUUGGGAGUCCAAGUCACUUCCUUGAAGCAGCUAAAUUCCUAACCCUCCACUGGGAAUGUGCACACCCUCCCAGGAGUAUCUCUUUCUAGCUUGUGUGCCAUUUGCAAACCAGACUUGUCAAAUAGAUGUCUCAUGAAUUCCGGUAAUGGAACCUGAUAGGCAUCUGCUGAAAAACUUCUUACCCAAAGCAGGAACCAAAUGAAUGGAAAGAACCGAAAGUUCUCCCAAGUAAUUGUUUCAAGUGAAAUGACAUUGGACAUCUCUUCAAAAACCGAUCUAAAAGAAAUCAACAGAAAUGAGCAAGAAAGUAGACACACUUUAUAGAUGCAGUUUUCAGAUAAGAGGAAAAUUAUUCUUUUCAUUUCAGAAAAGAAUGAAAUCUUUUCCAUGAGACAGUACAGGGGGAUGGAUAAGUGCUCAGAGAUCAAGUGUGUGAAUUUGACUUCCAGUUCUGUCUCCUGGUUGUAUAGUCUCUGUAAGAAGAUGGUCAUAAUAGUCAUAUCUACCUGAUAGGUUUGUUGUGAGAACAGUGCCUGGCCCAUAGAAAGCCUGUGACAGACUUUAAUAUCAUUCCCAGAGGUUUGAAAGAGAGAGAGAAUAAGAUAAAGGAUACUAAGUAGCAUAUGGGAAAGCAUGGGCUGUGGAAUCAGAGACCUCAAUUCACUUCUCAGGUGAUGCUCCUAGCUGGAUGACCUUGUGUAUGUUACCAAACCUCCUGGAGCCUCCAUUUUCUUAUUUUCUUUCUUUCUUUCUUUCUUUUUUUUUUUUUUUCCUUUUUAUGGCUGCACUUGCAGCAUAUGGAAGUUCCAGGGCCAGGGGUUGAAUCAGAGCUACAGUUGAGGCCUAUCUCACAGCCACAGCCGCAGCAACACUGGAUCUGAGCAGCAUCUGCAACCUAUGUUGCGUCUUGCAGCAAAACUGAAUACUUAACCCACUGUGUGAGGCCAGGGAUCAAACCUGCAUCCUUACGGAGACUAUAUCAGGUUCUUAACCCACUGAGCCACAACGGGAACUCCUGUUUUCUUAUUUUCAAAAUGAAAGUACUAGUCAUGGAGUUGGAAGAUGAGAGAUGGAUACAAAGUCCCUGCACUUGAUAAGCAUUCAGUAUUAGGCCACCUUUCCCUGCAGCUCUAGAACUAGUUGUUAAAAAAUAUCUUUAUUAAUUUGUUUUUUGUACCCAAUAAAAUUUAUUGUGUACUUCUUUUAGGGUGAAAAUGGUUUACAUGGAGUUCCAGGAUUACCCGGUCAAAAGGGAGAGCAAGGUUUUGAAGGCCUUAAAGGAGAAAUUGGUGAAAAGGUAAAGAUCUUUAUAUGCUACAUACUCAUCUGUAAAAAUUGUGUUCUUGAAAAUAUUUUGAAGUGGGAUAUCUGACUUGUUUUUGUGUCUUCCUUAUAAGCAGUUCAGUGAUUUUUAUAGGAAUAGUUUAAAAUUUGUGCCUCACUUAAGGUAGACUUAGCAUAUUGAUGAUGGUCAGAAAUCUUUCUCAACUUGUUAAAUGGUAGUUAUUUCUACAUAUUCUUGUUAAAUCAUUCCAUUGAUGUGCAAAUGACCCACACAUUUGUUAAGCAUUAUAUUUUUGUGCUCUCACAUUAUUGAUGCACUCAUUAAGUGUCCAAGUCUAAAUAAAUGCUUUGUUUUUAUGUAUACCUGUUUUAUCAGUGGAACUUUUCCUGAGGAAAUAAGUAGGACUAAUUGUAAUAGUCAGGGUCCAACAGAAAAGGGAUGGUACACUCAAAAUAGAAUAGUGUGAAAGAGUUUAACAAAGGAAUUAUAUAAAAAGUAGGGGCAAGGCUUAGGUAAGCCACUAGGAUUGUGCAGUAUAUCCCAGACUGGGUUAUAGUGAAUUCCUUAAAUCCUACCAGGUUACUGGUUUCCAAACUCAGAGGUAGAGAAAACUAUGUAGAAAGAAAGGGCUGCAGGCUGGAACUGAGGAAAGCACUUAACGCCUCUGUUCAAGCAAUCCUUUUGCACAUUCACAGCGUUGCACUGAAAGUACAGAGAAUGGAAGUGUCCUGGUCAUCUGAAAUUUCCCUUCACACAAUCAUUUGCAUCCUUCUGCAUUUCAUAUGUCUAGUUUUAUUUUCAAAUAGAACAAAAGCAAUACCAUUCCUUUGUUUUGUAAAAUGUCAUGUAAUUGGAGAGCCAGAAGGAAGGCUAGAAAGGGGAAAAGUUCAUUUCAAAUUAGGGUUGAUGAUCUGUGUUGAGUUUUCUGAGCUGUGAUCAGUUAUUUGCUUAUUCACUGAGUAUUUAUAGAUAGAAUGAGCAUCUAUUGUAAUUGCCAGACAAAUUAUGCAUAUUGUAAGUGACUUGUUAAUUACUUUUCCUCACAGAACAGUGAGGAAAAAGGAAGGAUAACCAGGUAGUAACCAUGUAAUUGAGAAAUCCAUUGAGUGAUGACUCUUUUUAAAAUAGGACUCUUGAAUAUUUUUACUUUAGAAUAGCAGUCAGUGCAAUGCAAUGGCUCUAAAUAAAUGCUUUAUUUACACAUAUUCCUGUUUUAUUAAUGGGACUUUACCUGUAGGAAUAGGUGAAAAGAAGCCAGAAAAAUAGAUAUAUUCUCUGUAAUUUAAAGUUUCCAUCUCACUAAAAUCUUAGUGGCUAUUUUGAUAUUUUAUAUGUACAAGUUGAUAUUGUUCAGUAAUAAAUUCUCACAGUAUAGGAGGUAUAGAAAAAACAUUCAAUAUAUUUGACUACAAAGAUUUGCCUUUUAAUUCCUCAUAUCUAUUAACUGUUGCCUUCAAAUAAUCAAUUUCACCAUGAGGUGAAAAUAUGUAUGUAGAAUAUGAUUAAGAUAUCGGGAAGAAAUAAAGCCUCAACUAGAAAAGAAAAUAUCUUGAAUGAGAAUCACUACUCACAUAGUUUAUAGUCAAAUGUAAGAUUCACAUAAUAACUCUUAAUGUUAGAAAUAUAUUCUGCCUUAAUUGUUAUUUAUCAUAUAUGGGAUCUUUGACUUGUUUCAGUGUUACAUGCUAUGUCUUAUGAUAUAGGACCAUGUCUAUUUUUCCAUCUGAUACAUAAUUGACAUCACACUUUUGUUUCUAGAUUAGAAACUUUUUGUUUCUAGAUUAAACAAGGAAAGUAUGUAAAGCACUCAUUUUUGUGUGACACCAGUAAUAUUCUUGGACUGCUUACAACAUAAUCUGUUUUCUGAAUAAAGACAACCUCAUUUGAAUUUUAGUUCUCUGUGGAAAACUGAGUCAUAAUGAAAUAAGACAACUUUCUUCUUAAUGACCUUAUGCAGUCUUAGGUGUUUAAAAUUUGACUGUUUUGAGUAACACAGUUCACUAGUUGCCAAAUAAAAUAAUUCACUAGUUGUUAUUAUUCAAAGACAUCGUAUCUACCAAAGUCACAUGGCUGCUGACCCAAAAAGAAAGGUUUAUUAAUUGUCAAAGAGAACAUACCAUAUGAUGGUUUUCAGGUGGUAUUUCUAUAAUCCAUUAUAAACCAAAUAGGGAAAUCUGCUGCUUUUCUUUAUGGUUAAAAAACUAGCUUUCAGACCAGCUUAACACGAGCCAGACUAUUACAGGUUCCUCAGUCAGAAAGGAAUCCAGGAAAUGUAAACAAGUAUUGAGGACCUUGUUUGAAAGCAUAUUCCUGAGGCUAUCGCAACUCAGAGCGGAAACUCAUACCUCAUUACCCAAGCAAACACAAUUCAGCCAAGUCGGCCCUAAAGUGAAAGUUACUUGAAGGGAUGGUUCUUUGUCUCAAAGAUUAGGUUCUUAUGCUGGAACCUUAGGUUUAUCACGUAGAUAUGCAUGCAUAGGAACGACCAUACUCCACUGCCCCAUUCCUGGCUGGUAAAGUCAGGUGAGCAUCAUUCAAGAAACCCUGGACUCCCUGACAGUGUAGCCCAUGAAGCAAGAGGGAGAAAGUCUGUAUUCUGGCAGAGGAGUAGAACCCUAACUCAGGUCUACAUCCUGGCUUCUCUGUUCCUAUAGGAGUGGUCUUAAAUAUCCCUUCUUUGGGGGAUUUUUCCCUUAGGUACCUUCAGUAUUACUGCAGACAUAAUGUGGCUACUACUAGUACUGAACAAAGUGAAGAGUCCACUCUUUAAAAAAUAUAUAUAUUUUAUUGAAGUAAAGUUGGUAUACCAUAUUGUGUUAGUUUCUGCUGUAUAGCAAAGUGAUUCAGUUAUACACAUACAUGUGUAUAUUCUUUUUCUUAUUCUUUUCCAUUAUGGUUUAUCACAGAAUAUUGAGUAUAGUUCCAUGUGCUAUACAGUAGGACUUUGUUGUUGUCCAUCCAAUAUCCAUAGUUUGCAUGUGUUAAUCCCAAAUUCCUGAUCCAUCCCUCCCCCAUCCUCCUUUUCUUUGGCAAUCAAAAGUCUGCUCUCCAUGUCUGUGAGUCUGUUUCUGUUUUAUAGAUAGGUUCAUUUGUGUCUUAUUUUAGAUUCCACAUAUAAGUGAUAUCAUCUGGCAUUUGUCUUUGAUUGACUUCACUUAGUGUGAUAAUCUCUAGGUGCAUCCAUGUUGCUGCAAAUGGCAUUAUUUCAUUUUUAUGGCCGAGUAGUAUUCCAUUGUAUAAGAUGUAACACAUCUUUAUCCACUUCUCUGUCAAUGGACAUUUAGGUUGCUUCCAUGUCUUGGUUAUUGUGAAUAGUGCUGCUACGAACAUAAAGGUGCAUGUAACUUUUCCAAUUAUAGUUUUACCUGGAUAUAUGCCCAGGAAUAGGAUUGCUGGAUCAUAUGGCAACUCUAUUUUUAGUUUUUUGAGGAACCUCCAUACUGUUUUUCAUAGUGGCUGCACCAAUUUACAUUCCUACCAACUGAGUAGGAGGGUUCCCUCUUCUCCACAGUCUGUGCAGCAUUUGUUAUUUGUAGAUUUUUUUAAAUGAUGGUCAUUCUGACCAGUGUGAGGUAGUGAAGAUUCCAGUCUUGAUGACAGUUAUCCCUACUGUCAGCCUCCCUGGCAAUGAUUCAGCCAAACAAACUCUUGUUAUAUGACCAAAGGUAAACACAGGAAUGAAACUUUGCAUAUCACUUUAGAAAAAGGCCCAUUUGUCUGAGGUUCAGUGAAGUGAUCUGUACUCCUAAACCCUGAGCCCAGGUCUUUACUUUAGGUCUUUGUGAAAAUAGGACUAUUACGUGGUUGCAUUUAUGGGGGGAAAAAAAAGGAGCAAAUGGAAAAGCAGAUACAAACAUCUGCUUCAUGAUAGCAUUCAAUAUUUUAAGGUUAUUCUUCAGAUCAUGUAAUUUAGUUUGCUUUUAAAAUUAUUAUUAUUUUGUGUUGUCAUUCAAGCCUUAAAUAACUUAAAAGUUUAAAAAAUAUUUUCUUCAGCAUUUAAACUUGAUUCUGCUGCACUUUUUUUUAUUAAAUAUCAUUUGAUUGUGUGAGAGAAACAUCCAGUGGCAACUGUUACUCAUGCCACAGUGUUCCUAACACUUUGUAGCUAAAAUGUUGUCAAUUUCAGUUCAUUCAAAAGUGACAUUUAAGAAUGUGGGCACAGAUAGCCCCAAAUCCUUUCAAGGAUCUAAAAUGUUUCAAUAAGUGUGUGACUUUUCCAUUUGAUAUUAAAAUAAUCUGAUCUUUUCAGGAUCUCUUAAGUUUAGUGAAAAAAAAAAAAAAAAAAAA